GGAAUGUGGCUCAGAGGUAGAGCAGCUGCCUAGCAUGCACAAGGUCCUCAGUUCAAUUCUCAGUACCA
This 68-nucleotide transfer RNA is filed under the name Marmota monax (woodchuck). RNAcentral's name for it is "tRNA.Ala". Lineage: Eukaryota; Metazoa; Chordata; Mammalia; Rodentia; Sciuridae. The record is from RNAcentral.